AAAAAAACGGACAUUGUGCUACUACUAUCCUAUCCAUCUCUAUCUCGAAUGAACAUGUAUACACGAAAAAUGUAGUACACCCACAAUUGUUGAUGAGUGAGGGGGCCCGUCUCUCUCUCUCCAACCGGACACGGAAUUUCGCCCCGGAGCGAGGAUUACCUGUCUCUCUUUCUCUGCGGCUAACGCCCUCUCAGAGUGCGUAUUACAUCCAGGCAACCAACUGGCAUUCGCUCAUUCGUUACAGACAGCGUCGGGUGUUGUUUAAGAUAGUCGUAGGGAUUCAUCGCCAGAGCGCGAGUGGCUCUUAGCUCGGAGAACUUCCAAACUCGGGAAAAUGGGAGAUAUUUCCGCUGUUGUUUUAUUUUCGUUCAAAAUUUUGUUCGAGCAGUUGCCACUUGGGACGUCGAGCAGGGAGGACGCCGAUGGAGAGACGGGAACGACGCCAAAGUACUCAGGAUAGGGGGGGCGGACGAAUGACGAUGGCGCGUCUAUUAACGGAAUUGACUCUUUUAGCCUGAAAUGGGGGGGCCUGUCGCUGUUGGAUUUCCUAAUUGAAUCCAUUGCGAAAAGGACACGUGAGAAACGUCGAGGAUAACGGGCCAGUCGAUCGGCGGAAAAAAAUAAAAUAAUAAAAACGAGGGUCCCAAAAUGUCAAAAGUAGAGAUAAAAAGUGGAGUAAAUGAACUCACCUGGACUUGGUAGACGUACUCGUCCUCGCUGCUGCUGUUGCUGCUACUACAUUCACUACUCCUACUACUGGAAGAACGGUUGAUAUCGUGUCUCUAAAUAAAAAAUGUCGAGAAAAAAAAAAAUAAACAUAACGGAAACAAUUCUCGAAAAAAAAAACAAAUACACUUGCAACCAUUUUGUGUGUCUUCAAAUUGUUUCGUAAAAAAAAAAUAUAUAGAAAAAUGGGAGAGAGAAAUUCAUCCUGCCGGAAUCGUAUAAAAUAAGGUAAGUAGAAUCUUAAUAUUUAUAUCCAAUACACGAGUCUGAGAUUAAAAAGGUUUGCCUGGAAGUCUUAAAAAAAUCAUUUCUUCCUUCCCCGAAAAAUUGUCGUCCACAUAAACGACCCGUUCAAAUAAAUGUUUAAAACGA
Long non-coding RNA from Daphnia pulex (common water flea), 1098 nucleotides. RefSeq lists it as uncharacterized. Lineage: Eukaryota; Metazoa; Arthropoda; Branchiopoda; Diplostraca; Daphniidae. The transcript has 2 exons. The record is from RefSeq and is a predicted model, not a curated record.